RNAcentral lists this transfer RNA (68 nucleotides) under Marmota monax (woodchuck). RNAcentral's name for it is "tRNA.Thr". The record is from RNAcentral. Lineage: Eukaryota; Metazoa; Chordata; Mammalia; Rodentia; Sciuridae.
GUUGUGGCUCAGUGGUAGAGCACUAACCUUGUACAUGUGGGAUCCUGGGUUUGAUCCUCAGCAUAACA